GUUACCCUCUCGUUCCUGCCACCGCCUGUAAUUUCCUUGCCCCGCCGAGGGCAUUUUGGUCAUUUCACGUGCAGGUUUAUAAAGGGCAGCCGCUCUGUGUUGAACCCUAGCCGCCGCCUCCUCUCUCUUCCCGCGUGCGUCCUCUCCCCUCCCCUCCCACGCGCCUCCUCUCCUCCCACCCACAUCGCCGCCGCCGCCACCCACCGCCUCGAACCGCGCCGUCGGCGGCCAGAUCCGCCGCAACAGAGCCCCCCUCCCAACGACGACGAGCAGCAGCGGAGGGAGGACGAGGAGCGCGACGGCGGCAGCGGCGGCGGGGAGCAGCAGCAGCAGGCCAAGGCGACACAGCAACAGGCCUUGGGCUUGGGCGACGUCGAUGCCGCCAAGAUAAGCAGCAGAAGAGGAGAGUUCAUCCCCUCCUGGCCCGACACCGGCAGCCAUGGGGCUGCGCCUCCUCUCUGCCUCUGCAGAGGAGAGGAGAGGGGAUGAGCUUGCAGCUCCUGAUGUGCUUCAAUUCGAUUUGGAGUAGAGCAAUUGAUGUAUUCCUACAGCUGCUGUAGAGGAUAGGAGAGCACAUCACACAAUUCUCCACCUUUAAUGAACAACGUCCGGCAUCUCCGCUCCACGGCGUCACCGACUAGCUAGAUGAGCUGGAGGUGUCGGAUGUGUCCACGGUGUUGGAUGUGCCUCAGGAUCUGAACGAACAACGGGCUAGGCAUACCACUCUCUUGUCCAGUGCCGUUCUUUGUGUGUGUGCCUUCUAGUGUGAUCUACUUCUUGACAUAUCCCUAGGCAUCUUGACAUAUCUCUAGACAGGUUCUCAUGUUCAGCGCAUCCAGUUUGGUUGAUUAUUUUGGGGGGCUUAUUUUGGAAAGGCUUUGAGAGGCUGUCUGAAUCACCACCUUGUGUUAAUAGAAUUAUACAUAGUUUUGUACAGCCAUUUCAUUUUGCAUAGGGCUACGAAGUACAAUCAAACAAUCUGCAGCUUAGCACUACUGUAUUUCCUGGACUCCCCAAUUUGGGAUUUAAGCAUUGAGGCGUUGAAUAUGUCUAUAUGAACUGUAGUUCUAUAUUUCCUGCUACUCGAGCUAGCUCUCUCUCUCUCCGACGUCUUGGUUUGCAGGCUGCUGCGUGGUGAGGUACUGACUAAGGAGCAUGAAUCGCCACCACCACGUACCAGAUGUUGCCGUCAAGGUCGGCGUCAUAGUGACUGCCGAUGACUUGCAGCUGAUGCAUUGAUCAACACCGGUCUGGCGAAACUGAGCUAUAAAUAUGUGAAAAUCGAUGAUUGGUGGGCAGAAUUAAAGAGGGAUUACCAAAGAGAUACACCUGAGCAAGCAGCUAGACCCAAGGUACUAAUGUAAAUCGCUCAACCAUUUUGAUAAUUAGUCUCUCAAGAGUUCUUUUCUUAGUAUAUUAUUCUUCAAGUUCCACUUACAUUUUACUAAGUCAUGCCCAAAUGCCUUUUCUAUAAAUCAUUCUAAAAGAUCCAUUUGUGACUUACUACCCCCCCUCUGCCCAUAUUUUUAUCUAUGGAUGCUGCACUCUCUUUCUCUCUCUGUUAUGGCCAUGUUUAGUGCUUCCGUUUAGUCCAAAGGGAGUAGCUCAAUUGUGUCCUGCAUAAAUUAGAUCUUUCCGAAAACAUUUUAACCAGGAUCCACCUUGGUUCGGUAUGUGAUUAUAAUCACAUCUCGCGCUAUAGUAAAAUCGUAGUUGUGCCUUCUGAAACAUCUUUUCUAGGGCACUGAUUCAGGUAGAUAGUUCUAAAUUUACUGCAGACACAUAUAAGCUCACUCGCUCAAUUUUGAAAUUGUUCAUAUUUAUGGCUUCGGUAAGUAUACAUAGUAAUCAUGACUAGAUCGUAGAAGUUAGAGAUGUACAAAUGAUUGAUUGGAAAUAUAUAUUUGUAUUUGCAACAACACACUAGAUCACGUCAGGUAAAUACUUUUGUAGAAUAUACGUCAGGUUUUGAACUUUUGACGACGACUGCUGAAAAACUAAAGUAAAUCCAUGAUAUAUAGUCAGUAUAAUAUAUAUUUAGAUAUUCAUGGCACUGCAUAAGCAUGGUUCAGUUCCCCUGGGAGCACUAGCUGCUGGCUUUUACAUGUAUUUCUUGAUUCUAAUAAGAUGCAGCUAAUCUUAGAAAAUAUAGUAAGCACCUAUCAUGAAAUUUAAAACUGGCGUGAUGUGUCUCUCCGUUGAUAACUAUGAUGCUUGCAUAGAUGGUUGAUUUAUUUGAUUAUAAUCAGACUAAACCAUCAUAAUAUUAAGUACUGAUUAUUCGGAUGAAAAAUGAUCAAAGAAAUACAUGUACCGAAGUCACAUCUAUUGAGAUAAUGAUUAGGCAUACAAUUGCUUCUUUAAAUUAUUGUGAUAUUGUAGUUCUCUGUAGUCUAAUAAAUUAUGUACUGUGGUCCUCCGCCUCACCGCUUAACGGGAUGGACCGGGCAACGUAUGCCAAGGCGAGACCUGGCUCUCCUCUUAAGUUGAUUGGUUUCUCUUUUUGCAUUCCUUUUUCUAUGGUCUCAUUUGGCAUUUCUCCUUCAUGAUUAUUAUGUUGUCCCUUUUGGGUUGUCAGAUGCUUUACCUCGGCAGCAUGAUGAGAUUCCUUGCUUUCUCCAUGUGAAUUUUCCAAAAAGCUUCUCUAUUUAAGGAACCAUUUUUUCUCAUUGAUGUUGCAUCGACCAAUGCUUAUAGUACCUAAUAGAACUAAAAGUUGGUUACCCGGUCAACACACCUUAUAAAAAAUAUGAAUGGGCAAGAUGUGGCCAUCUAGAGUAGAAUUUGGUUCAUUCAUUAAUGUAGAAAGACAGGGGUCAAAGUGAUCUUUUUCCAAGGUAAUCACCACUGUUUUGUUUUAGGCUUAUGUGCUUGAUGUUUUUUAGGAUCUCUAUCAAUAAGGGGAUAUAUCAAGGUAGUGUGCUGUGUUCUAAUUAUAAGAAGAGAAAGUUAAGAACUUCAUAGUUACAAUGUAAUCAUGGCUAGAGAGUAGAGGUUAGAGAUGUACAAAUGAUUGAUUAAAAAAAUAUUUGUACUUGUAACAACACACUUAGUAUUCGUGACCCGGGUAAGGAACAAUUCAUGCCCGUUCAAGCAUUGUCCUUAAGCUACUGCAGAUCUUAGGGAGCGUCAUCAACGGAUUCGUAUUGCCACUUAAGGAAGAGCAUGAAUUGUUCCUUACCUGGGCCUUGAUUCCACUUCACAAGCCAAGUGCAUUGCAAUGCACCAUCAACAGUUGUCUUACUGUAUUACCCAGUUUGUCGAAAAAGAUUGCAAGCUUCCAUACACAGUUAUCACGGGCCUACUGAAAUAUUGGCCCAUCAGAAACAACACCAAGGAGGUGAUGUGUUUGGGAGAGUUGGAAGAGAUACUAGAAGCUACACAGCCUGCGGAGUUUCAGAAAUGCAUGGUUCCUCUUUUCCGCCAGAUUGCAGGUUGUCUGAAUAAUUCUCACUUUCAGGACUGUUUGGGAUAUCAAGCAGAAAAUUGUUCUUGGCAUGGCUGUCAAUCGUGGCUGCUACAUUGGUCAAAGCCAGAGCCUUAAUAUCAGCAUGGGUCAAGUCAACUCCGAGAAGCUAACUUCACUGCACUUCCACGCCUGGUGCAAGGUUUUCCUGUCGAUUUAGAUAUAGUUCUAACACUCCAUGAUUAUACUGAAAAUUUCAGCAGUCGGUGUUGAACAGGUCAUUAUGGCGCUAUGCUUGAGCGAGUCACAUGAUAAGGCGUUUAACCAAAGCUAUCUAUAUGUGUAAUCUGUUACUAUACAAUAUUAGAAUCAAAUAGAUUGGUUAUUCUGGGCUAUCUUUGUGCCUUGCUUUUAUUUAUUUUCGAUAAACUGGCAGGAGCGCUGCCUUUCAAGUAGAAGAAGAGAGAGUGUUACAAAUACUUUACACAAGGCUUUUCCCUACAAGAGUCCGGAGGCGGGGGAGCCUCUCAAACAUCACCGGCAUGCGGAUUACUCACGAAUGAGAAAGCAACUGGAUCUUGGUGCCUUUCCGCUCUGCUAAGGUUUGGAAAGCACAGGCCACCCCCAAAUGCAAGCUCUUCGCCUAGCUUGUCCUGCAUGGAAGAAUCCUCACGGUGGAAAACCUGGCAAUUCUGAAACUGUACUUGCAAAGGUGGGUUGGAGAGGAAAUUGUCGAUGCUCAAGCCAUGUCAAGAAGUGGAGCAAGAAGAGUGAAUCGGGAAAACUGGGAACACGUCUAUUUUUUAUGGCUUAUCCUUAGAUUGUAUUUGUUGUGGCGAAUUGACCGAGUUUUCUUACCGCUGUCGAUGCUGGCCAAUAAUGAAUCAUUGAGGAAUGUUGAACCAUUAAGAGUUGAAUUUAGGGUCUA
Triticum aestivum (bread wheat) is the source of this 4334-nucleotide long non-coding RNA. RefSeq lists it as uncharacterized. The record is from RefSeq and is a predicted model, not a curated record. The transcript has 7 exons. Lineage: Eukaryota; Viridiplantae; Streptophyta; Magnoliopsida; Poales; Poaceae.